GACGAACGCUGGCGGCGUGCUUAACACAUGCAAGUCGAACGGAAAGGCCCUGCUUGCCGGGUACUCGAGUGGCGAACGGGUGAGUAACACGUGGGUUAUCUGCCCUGCACUUCGGGAUAAGCCUGGGAAACUGGGUCUAAUACCGGAUAGGAGCCAUUUUUAGUGUGAUGGUUGGAAAGUUUUUUCGGUGUAGGAUGAGCUCGCGGCCUAUCAGCUUGUUGGUGGGGUAAUGGCCUACCAAGGCGGCGACGGGUAGCCGGCCUGAGAGGGUGGACAGCCACAUUGAGACUGAGAUACGGCCCAGACUCCGACGGGAGGCAGCAGUGGGGAAUAUUGCACAAUGGGCGCAAGCCUGAUGCAGCGACGCCGCGUGGGGGAUGACGGCCUUCGGGUUGUAAACUCCUUUCGCUAGGGACGAAGCUUUUUGUGACGGUACCUAGAUAAGAAGCACCGGCUAACUACGUG
Molecule: ribosomal RNA, 465 nt
Filed under: uncultured bacterium
Lineage: Bacteria
Description: partial 16S ribosomal RNA
Rfam family: Bacterial small subunit ribosomal RNA
Source: RNAcentral